RNAcentral lists this long non-coding RNA (300 nucleotides) under Gossypium raimondii (Peruvian cotton). Its description in RNAcentral is "long non-coding RNA (GRAI_LNC005269)". Lineage: Eukaryota; Viridiplantae; Streptophyta; Magnoliopsida; Malvales; Malvaceae. The record is from RNAcentral.
CAACAACAAGUACAAUAACAGUAGGAAAAUUGUAAAAAAAAAUGGAUGUAAUGGGCUAUAAAUAACCGAAUAUCAACUUUGUAAGGGGCUUUUUUUUCGGUUUUUUUCAAAAAAUUUGAAGAAAUAAAAAGUUUGAAGGUGAUCUUUUUUUUUGAUUUCCUUGAUCCUAUCUUCGCUUGUUUAUUUUUUUUUCUCUGAAUCGUUUCUUUCUUUUUUUGUUCAUUUAAUCAAUAUAUAUAUAUAAUACAUAAAAUAAAGACAAAGGGGAGAGUUUUACCUGAUUUCGGUGGAGGAACGGAG